Anneissia japonica is the source of this 364-nucleotide long non-coding RNA. RefSeq lists it as uncharacterized. The transcript is spliced from 3 exons. The record is from RefSeq and is a predicted model, not a curated record. Lineage: Eukaryota; Metazoa; Echinodermata; Crinoidea; Comatulida; Comatulidae.
UGGUGAUCGAUGAAUAAACAUACCGUGCAGUCAUGCGUAACAACAGAAAUACAGUUUGUCGACGUGGUGGUUUGGAAGAGAACAGCCAUGGAUUCCUACUUAAAUUUGUUAUCAAAUGUCACAAUCUUGUGUACAGUAUCUAUGUUUGCCGCAGGAAUUCCUUCAUGUUUAUCCAUUUAUCGGACUGGAAGCACACAGAAUGUUCCUUACCUCCCCUUUUUGAUGACCUUAAUAAAUAACCUUCUGUGGUUCUAUUAUGGGAUAUUAAAAGUAGACUCCACUCUCUUGGUGGUGAAUGGCAUUGGUGGUUUUCUACAGGUUACCUAUAUGGUGGUGUAUUUGUAUUUUGCAGUUAGCAGAGUAA